Molecule: transfer RNA, 71 nt
Filed under: Loxodonta africana (African savanna elephant)
Lineage: Eukaryota; Metazoa; Chordata; Mammalia; Proboscidea; Elephantidae
Rfam family: tRNA
About the family: Transfer RNA (tRNA) molecules are approximately 80 nucleotides in length. Their secondary structure includes four short double-helical elements and three loops (D, anti-codon, and T loops).
Source: Rfam by way of RNAcentral
GCAGUGGUGGUUCAGUGGUAGAAUUCUUGUCUUCAAUGCAGGUGACCUGGGUUUUAUUCCCACCCAAUGUG